UGGUCGGAGUUGAGGGGUUAACAAUAGGAAUAGUUCCAGGAGUUGCAUCCAUUUGGGUGGUGGAUUCUGUCGAUGUAAAAAGCAUCCGGUUUGCUUGAGCAUGCAGGUACUUGAUUUGCUGCUGGAUUGCUUCUGAAGGAGGUUUCUCUGCAACAUUUGAACCUGAACAAGUGAAAAGAUUAAAUGAGCCUGGCUUCUUAUUCAAAACUGCUUAAGAUGGAGAUGAUGGCAUAUCACUGAUGCAGACGAGCAGAGACAGGGCACCUCACGUCCUCAGCCCACCUCUCUUCCAACUUCGGAUCCUUACCUCAUCGGAUACGGUAAUUGACGGGCAGCACCUAUUAUAUAACGCAGUUUUAUUUGGUCAGCAGCAUGUGGCAGCGUCUGCGGCCCCCAUAUUGUUUUACCCAGUUGAGUCUUGUUUCAUAGGCCCGUAUCAUCAUUUUUCAAUAAAUUUGGUGCUCUCUCAUUCUAUCUUAUACUUGGACUUGAGUAUGCCUCAAAAAUAGGAAAAGGAGCAACGGAUUACGGAUCAACCUUAUCCAAAUUGUUAUAUAACGAUCGAGAAUUCCCUUUUUAGUAGGAACACAGAGGACCAUUUUUUUUUUUUUUUAUGCACGUUUCCCAUGAGUAAUUGAAUGGCUAAUUAUGAGGAUCAAAAUAAUACAAUGGCGAUGGUAUGAUUUGUCACUA
Malania oleifera is the source of this 693-nucleotide long non-coding RNA. RefSeq lists it as uncharacterized. The record is from RefSeq and is a predicted model, not a curated record. Lineage: Eukaryota; Viridiplantae; Streptophyta; Magnoliopsida; Santalales; Ximeniaceae. The transcript has 2 exons.